RNAcentral lists this ribosomal RNA (513 nucleotides) under Triticum aestivum (bread wheat). RNAcentral's name for it is "partial small subunit ribosomal RNA". The record is from RNAcentral. Lineage: Eukaryota; Viridiplantae; Streptophyta; Magnoliopsida; Poales; Poaceae.
AUGUACUUCGAUGGCGCUUGCCGGCAAUCUGGGUCAGGCGCCAGAGUCGUUUUCAUUACACCUAAUGAAGGGGUGAUCCCAUACUCAUUUACCCUAACUUCGGCGGUGUCAAAUAACUCUGCCGAAUAUGAAGCUCUUAUCAUUGGGCUUGAAAUAGCAAUAAACAUGGGGCUCGAUACGCUCUCUGUUUAUGGGGACUCACAAUUAGUGAUUAAUCAAUUGAAGGGGACCUACAUGGUAAAGAAACAAGAGUUGUUGCCAUAUUUCAAAAGGGCGAAAGAGCUUUUAGCUAUGUUCGCAGAUAUAAAUAUUGAACACAUAGUUAGGAACCAAAAUGAAAAGGCCGACACCUUAGCUGGUUUAGCUGCUGGUAUGUCAUUAAACUCAGACGAAAUGAUGGACAUACACAUUGAGGAGCGAAGAAUACUGCCAAUAUUUGCUGAAGAAGAAGAAGCGAUAGUAUCUUCUGCAAUGACAGCUGAUGUAUGUGAAAUCGAGGUAGGGGAUUUGUGA